AUGGGAAAGCACAUGUACAUCCAGUCGGGACUCAUGCAUUUCCCAACAGAGAGAGAGAGGGAGAGUUACAGCAAACUGGUGCGAUACUACUCUAUGAUCAAUUUUACAGAUGUGAUGAAGUACCGAGGAUCAAGGAGGCAAUUGCAAAUUGCACAGAAGCCUAAACUAUGGUUUGGAGGAAUUCUUGGAGGAUGCUGGAAGGAUUGUAAAGCAAUAAAUUAUUCCUCCAAGCUCUACUCUGAAACAAGAGCACCAAGGAAUUACCAUCCUGACCCUAUGCCUCCACCCCAGCACAGGCAGGGCCUAGGGUGUGGUGGAGAUGCCCACUUACCUGUGUAGAAGAAGGUUCUCUGAAAUGCUCCUUAAUUUGAAAGAUGGCGUCUCCUGGGAGGGGGGAGGGAAGUAAAAAAUAAAAAUAAUAAUAAUAAAAAAAAGAUGAUAUGC
RNAcentral lists this long non-coding RNA (444 nucleotides) under Anas platyrhynchos platyrhynchos (common mallard). RNAcentral's name for it is "lncRNA (ENSAPLG00000017060.1)". The record is from RNAcentral. Lineage: Eukaryota; Metazoa; Chordata; Aves; Anseriformes; Anatidae.